Molecule: long non-coding RNA, 355 nt
Filed under: Coturnix japonica (Japanese quail)
Lineage: Eukaryota; Metazoa; Chordata; Aves; Galliformes; Phasianidae
Description: lncRNA (ENSCJPG00005002446.1)
Source: RNAcentral
AUAUGUCCCAUCCAUCCCUAUGUGCCAUCCCAUCCCUAUGUGUCCCAUUCCAUCUCCUAUCGAUCCCAUCCCAUUCCUAUAUUGUUCAUCCAUCCCUAUAUGUCCCAUCCAUCUUCCUAUAGAUCCCAUCCAUCCCUAUGUGUCCCAUCCAUCCCCUAUGUAUCCCAUCCAUCCCUAUGUGUCCCAUCCAUCCCCUAUGUGUCCCAUCCAUCCCUAUGGAUCCCAUCCAUCCCCUAUAGAUCCCAUCCAUCCCUAUAGAUCCCAUCCAUCCCUAUGUGUCCCCCCCUUUAGUGUGGGGUCCCUGUUCCCCCUAUGGGCGCACUGACGGCAGCUCAUUACAAUGGAUCCGGAGUGA